RNAcentral lists this ribosomal RNA (207 nucleotides) under uncultured bacterium. RNAcentral's name for it is "partial 16S ribosomal RNA". It matches the Rfam family "Bacterial small subunit ribosomal RNA", at positions 568 to 774 of the family's 1533-position model. The record is from RNAcentral.
CUCGUAGGCGGCUCGUCGCGUCCGGUGUGAAAGUCCAUCGCUUAACGGUGGAUCCGCGCCGGGUACGGGCGGGCUUGAGUGCGGUAGGGGAGACUGGAAUUCCCGGUGUAACGGUGGAAUGUGUAGAUACCGGGAAGAACACCAAUGGCGAAGGCAGGUCUCUGGGCCGUUACUGACGCUGAGGAGCGAAAGCGUGGGGAGCGAACA